UUUGAUGGUGGCUCAGAUUGAACGCUGGCGGCAGGCCUAACACAUGCAAGUCGAGCGGUAACAGAUUGAUAGCUUGCUAUCAAUGCUGACGAGCGGCGGACGGGUGAGUAAUGCCUGGGAAUAUACCCUGAUGUGGGGGAUAACUAUUGGAAACGAUAGCUAAUACCGCAUAAUCUCUUCGGAGCAAAGAGGGGGACCUUCGGGCCUCUCGCGUCAGGAUUAGCCCAGGUGGGAUUAGUUAGUUGGUGGGGUAAUGGCUCACCAAGGCGACGAUCCCUAGCUGGUCUGAGAGGAUGAUCAGCCACACUGGAACUGAGACACGGUCCAGACUCCUACGGGAGGCAGCAGUGGGGAAUAUUGCACAAUGGGGGAAACCCUGAUGCAGCCAUGCCGCGUGUAUGAAGAAGGCCUUCGGGUUGUAAAGUACUUUCAGUUGUGAGGAAGGCGUUGGAGUUAAUAGCUUCAGCGUUGACG
RNAcentral lists this ribosomal RNA (474 nucleotides) under Photobacterium sp. C09. RNAcentral's name for it is "bacterial SSU rRNA". It matches the Rfam family "Bacterial small subunit ribosomal RNA", at positions 12 to 480 of the family's 1533-position model. The record is from RNAcentral. Lineage: Bacteria; Pseudomonadati; Pseudomonadota; Gammaproteobacteria; Vibrionales; Vibrionaceae.